GAUGAACGCUGGCGGCGUGCUUAACACAUGCAAGUCGAACGAAGCGCUUAAACGGAUUUCUUCAGAAUGAAGUUUUUGCGACUGAGUGGCGGACGGGUGAGUAACGCGUGGGUAACCUGCCUCAUACAGGGGGAUAACAGUUAGAAAUGACUGCUAAUACCGCAUAAGCAUACGAGGAGGCAUCUCCUGGUGUGAAAAACUCCGGUGGUACAGGAUGGGCCCGCGUCUGAUUAGCUAGUUGGCAGGGUAACGGCCUACCAAGGCGACGAUCAGUAGCCGGUCUGAGAGGAUGAACGGCCACAUUGGGACUGAGACACGGUCCAA
RNAcentral lists this ribosomal RNA (324 nucleotides) under uncultured bacterium. Its description in RNAcentral is "bacterial SSU rRNA". It matches the Rfam family "Bacterial small subunit ribosomal RNA", at positions 28 to 334 of the family's 1533-position model. The record is from RNAcentral.